Molecule: ribosomal RNA, 373 nt
Filed under: uncultured organism
Description: bacterial SSU rRNA
Rfam family: Archaeal small subunit ribosomal RNA
Source: RNAcentral
CCAGCACCCGAGUGGUCGGGACGAUUAUUGGGCCUAAAGCAUCCGUAGCCGGCCUUACAAGUCCUCCGUUAAAUCCAGCUGCUUAACAGAUGGGCCGCGGAGGAUACUAUAAGACUAGGAGGCAGGAGAGGCAAGCGGUACUCAGUGGUAGGGGUAAAAUCCGUUGAUCCAUUGAAGACCACCAGUGGCGAAGGCGGCUUGCCAGAAUGCGCUCGACGGUGAGGGAUGAAAGCUGGGGGAGCAAACCGGAUUAGAUACCCGGGUAGUCCCAGCUGUAAACGAUGCAGACUCGGUGAUGGACCAGCUUAAUGCUCGUCCAGUGCCGCAGGGAAGCCGUUAAGUCUGCCGCCUGGGUAGUACGGUCGCAAGACUG